UUUAUUUUAGCGGCGGACGGGUGAGUAACGUGUGGGUAACCUGCUUUUACUGGGGAAUAAUCACUGGAAACGGUGACUAAUACCGCAUACGGUUCUUGGAAGGCAUCUUCUAGGAAAGAAAGGAUUUAUUCGGUAAAAAGAUGGGCCCGCAUCUGAUUAGCUAGUUGGUGAGAUAACANCCCACCAAGGCGACGAUCAGUAGCCGACCUGAGAGGGUGACCGGCCACAUUGGGACUGAGACACGGCCCAAACUCCUACGGGAGGCAGCAG
Molecule: ribosomal RNA, 270 nt
Filed under: uncultured bacterium
Lineage: Bacteria
Description: partial 16S ribosomal RNA
Rfam family: Bacterial small subunit ribosomal RNA
Source: RNAcentral